GUACUGCUGAGGAGUCCAUAACUAGGACGAAACAGUUGUCCAGUAC
Molecule: non-coding RNA, 46 nt
Filed under: Trichobilharzia regenti
Lineage: Eukaryota; Metazoa; Platyhelminthes; Trematoda; Strigeidida; Schistosomatidae
Source: RNAcentral